UCGGAGUUGCAGCCUGCAACUCGGCUGCAUGAAGCUGGAAUCGCUAGUAAUCGCGGAUCAGAAUGCCGCGGUGAAUACGUUCCCGGGUCUUGUACACACCGCCCGUCACACCAUGGGAGUAGGUAAUGCCGGAAGUCGGUGACCUAACCGGAAGGAAGGAGCCGCCGAAGGCAGGACUUAUAACUGGGGUGAAGUCGUAACAAGGUAAC
This 209-nucleotide ribosomal RNA is filed under the name uncultured bacterium. RNAcentral's name for it is "partial 16S ribosomal RNA". It matches the Rfam family "Bacterial small subunit ribosomal RNA", at positions 1288 to 1500 of the family's 1533-position model. The record is from RNAcentral.